RNAcentral lists this ribosomal RNA (477 nucleotides) under uncultured bacterium. Its description in RNAcentral is "partial 16S ribosomal RNA". It matches the Rfam family "Bacterial small subunit ribosomal RNA", at positions 29 to 507 of the family's 1533-position model. The record is from RNAcentral.
AUGAACGCUGGCGGCGUGCUUAACACAUGCAAGUCGAACGAGAAGUGAAGACGGAAACCUUCGGGCGGAAGGCUUUAUUUCGAGUGGCGGACGGGUGAGUAACGCGUGGGUAACCUGCCUCAUACAGGGGGAUAACAGUUGGAAACGACUGUUAAUACCGCAUAAGACCACAGCACCGCAUGGUGCGGGGGUAAAAACUCCGGUGGUAUGAGAUGGACCCGCGUUCGAUUAGCCAGUUGGCGGGGUAACGGCCCACCAAAGCGACGAUCGAUAGCCGAUCUGAGAGGAUGGCCGGCCACAUUGGGACUGAGACACGGCCCAAACUCCUACGGGAGGCAGCAGUGGGGAAUAUUGCACAAUGGGGGAAACCCUGAUGCAGCGACGCCGCGUGAGUGAAGAAGUAUUUCGGUAUGUAAAGCUCUAUCAGCAGGGAAGAAAAUGACGGUACCUGAGUAAGAAGCCCCGGCUAACUACGUG